UCACAAAGAAGCCCACCUUUAUGCCUUUCUGUGGGGAAGAAUUAAAUUCUGUGGCUACAUCUCUGAAUGAUAGUGAGUUCUGCCUUCCUUGAAUUCUCCAUCUGACCUGGAAUGUGCACUCGCAAAUAGAAGUGAUGAAAACAGGAGAGCAUCAUUUCCAGGAAGUUCACAUGCAUGUGCUCUUUCCACCAUCUCUUAACCAGUCUACAUAUCAAAACUAUUUCUAAGGAAAGAAGAUGGAACGUACGCUCUUAAGAAAGAAGAGAUCAUCUGGGGUCCUUGUCUGACCAACAUCACUGCAUUCCACAAUCCAUCAAAGACCACAAAUGGAAUGAGAACAGGG
Long non-coding RNA from Orcinus orca (killer whale), 343 nucleotides. RefSeq lists it as uncharacterized. The transcript has 3 exons. NCBI's taxonomy places the organism in Eukaryota, Metazoa, Chordata, Mammalia, Artiodactyla, Delphinidae. The record is from RefSeq and is a predicted model, not a curated record.